CACUAUAUAGGGAAUAGGGUCUAUAGUAGUACCACUAUAUAGGGAAUAGGGUCUAUAGUAGUACCACUAUAUAGGGAAUAGGGUCUAUAGUAGUACCACUAUAUAGGGAAUAGGGUCUAUAGUAGUACCACUAUAUAGGGAAUAGGGUCUAUAGUAGUACACUAUAUAGGGAAUAGGGCUCUGGUCUAAAGUAGUACCACUAUAUAGGGAAUAGGGCUCUGGUCUAAAGUAGUACCACUAUAUAGGGAAUAAGGCUCUGGUCUAUAGUAGUUGCACUAUAUAGGGAAUAGGGCUCUGGUCUAUAGGAGUGCACUAUAUA
Long non-coding RNA from Oncorhynchus tshawytscha (Chinook salmon), 319 nucleotides. The record is from Ensembl. NCBI's taxonomy places the organism in Eukaryota, Metazoa, Chordata, Actinopteri, Salmoniformes, Salmonidae.